GUGGUCCCACCUGACCCCAUGCCGAACUCAGAAGUGAAACGCCGUAGCGCCGAUGGUAGUGUGGGGUCUCCCCAUGUGAGAGUAGGGAACUGCCAGGCA
RNAcentral lists this ribosomal RNA (99 nucleotides) under Enterobacter sp. BWH 39. Lineage: Bacteria; Pseudomonadati; Pseudomonadota; Gammaproteobacteria; Enterobacterales; Enterobacteriaceae. The record is from RNAcentral.